AGUGAACGCUGGCGGUAGGCCUAACACAUGCAAGUCGAACGGCAGCACAGUAAGAGCUUGCUCUUACGGGUGGCGAGUGGCGGACGGGUGAGGAAUACAUCGGAAUCUACUUUUUCGUGGGGGAUAACGUAGGGAAACUUACGCUAAUACCGCAUACGACCUACGGGUGAAAGCAGGGGAUCUUCGGACCUUGCGCGAUUGAAUGAGCCGAUGUCGGAUUAGCUAGUUGGCGGGGUAAAGGCCCACCAAGGCGACGAUCCGUAGCUGGUCUGAGAGGAUGGUAGGCCACACGGGAACUGAGACACGGUCCAGACUCCUACGGGAGGCAGCAGAGGGGAAUAUUGGACAAUGGGCGCAAGCCUGAUCCAGUCAUACCGCGUGGGAGAAGAAGGCCUUCGGGUUGUAAAGCCCUUUUGUUGGGAAAGAAAAGCAGCAGGUUAAUACCACGCGGUACUGACGGUAACCAAAGAAUAAGCACCGGCUAACUACGUG
This 492-nucleotide ribosomal RNA is filed under the name uncultured bacterium. Its description in RNAcentral is "partial 16S ribosomal RNA". It matches the Rfam family "Bacterial small subunit ribosomal RNA", at positions 29 to 507 of the family's 1533-position model. The record is from RNAcentral.